Non-coding RNA from Heterocephalus glaber (naked mole-rat), 4187 nucleotides. The record is from RefSeq and is a predicted model, not a curated record. Lineage: Eukaryota; Metazoa; Chordata; Mammalia; Rodentia; Bathyergidae.
CCUAGCCGAGCUGUCCUUCCCUCUGCCUCGACCCCAGUGGCAACAUCGUCCAUGGAUCUUUCCCCUCACCCCACACCCGGACGGUUCCUCCCGCUGGGUCUUUCCCGCAACCCUGAUGAUAGGCCUGGGGCGGUGGGCCUUUCACCUCCCCACGGAAGGGCCCUCUGAAGGGAGCGGCAGGCAAAGCAGUUCGAAGUUGGUGGAGACUUCGGCGUCUUGCAGCCAGAGAGGGCAGAGGUGAGAAAUGGCGCGUCCUGCUCGUGUGCCCACGACGGCCUGGCUCGGGAACGCGGCGCCAUUUCAGCUGACAGCAGAGCGAGUGGAGCUCUAGGCAGACCUACAGGAGUCCAGUAAAUGAAUUUGGAAUUGAACUCGGGACCUUGUGAUUUCGAAGCAGGAGCCGGAACCACUGAGCUAAAUCCCUGGCUACAAGUGUUUUUUCUUGGUAUUAUGCAGCUCUGUCUUUGGACCAUCAUCUCUCCAGACUAUGCUUGGUGCCUGGCACACAGAACCAACACAGGCACUCCCAGGACCUCAGAAGCUGUCAGGAUCUCUCCCCACCAGCAAGCCGGCAGUCAGCACUCUCAGCCCUGACCCUCUGUGCAAGGAGAUUCAGUCCCCAAGGCACCCCGCCCCGGCCAAUGCCAGUCACAGCCUCCAGAUUGUUUCACUUGUGCUUCUGAGGACCAGGUGUAAUUGGAUGCUUACAACUUUUGUUUUUUGUUUCUGUUUUGGUACCAAGGAUCAAAGUUGGGACCUUGCGCUUGCAAGGCAGGCAGCGGUACCACUGAGCUAAUCCCUGGCCCUGGAUACUUACAACUUUUGGCUCCUCUGAUUCAGUUAAUUUACAGAAUUCAGGGAAACUUGUAAUGUUUACUGGUUGGUUGGUUGAUUGAUUGACUGAUUGACUGAUUUUGAAACAGGGCCUCACUAUGUAGCCCAAGCUGGCCUUGAACUCAUGGCAAUCCUCCUGCCUCAGCCUCCUGAGUGCUGGGAUUGCAGGUAUGCACUACCCCAUCUGGCAUUUACUCGUUUAUAAUAAAGGAAAAGUACACAGAUGAAUCAAUUACAUGGGGUGAGGUGUGGGAAGGGACAUGGAGUUUCCAUGCCCUGUUGAGGGUGCCAUCCUCUGGCAACUCUCACACAUUCAGUCAUCUGGAAGCUCCCCAAAUCCUGUCCUUGGGGGUUUUAUGGAAACUUUAUUGUGUAUCUAACACUUAAUAGACUGGGUGGGGAAACGCGUGCAGGCUGGUCUGUCUAGAUUCUUCUUGGCCUCUAUAGGUUCCUUCUUCCAGGGCAUGAGACAGUGCCCUUCCACACUUGAGAUCUUAUUGACAUAGGAGCUUAGGGUCUGAGAAAGCUGGCUGGGGAAGUAGAUGUGACCUGUUAAUUACAAGAUCCCAGAACAUAUGUGCUGAACAGCUCCCAAAGCCCUGCACAUGGACUUCUGAGCAGGUUUUCAAAAGGAUGGCCUAGACCUGCCAUCAGCCUUGAGGUGGGAUCCUAGCACCGGCUCUCCAGACACAUAGGUAGAAGUUCUCACCAGUUUCCUUGAGAUAUGGACAGUACAAAAGGACACAGACACCAAGAAGUGUGCUCUAUCAGGGCUUUCCUCAUGACAGCCUGCCUUUCUUCCUCCAGGGUAUGCUUUUAUUUUGCUUUUGCCUCUUUCACUAGAUCGAAGUGCACUCUGCAGAGUCAGUUUCUCUCUUACUCUUCAUUUUUAAUUUUUCAAAUAAACUUUACCACUGCCUUUUGCUCAUUUUGUUAAAUUCUUUGUUUGAGACAAGAAGAAUCCAGAAUCUAACUUCAGAAGGAGAGGCAAUCAACCCAGAACUCUGUAAUGUUUGUUUAUUUGGCAAGCCAUGUUUAGAAGGAGCAACCCGAUGACAUUAUCAGAAAGAGGUGGAGCGGGCUGCAGUUCCUAUGAUCCACCUGGGGGAGGGGGUACUACCCAGGAACCAUGGACAAAAUCCAAAAUCUGUAUCUCAUAGCCCAGAAGGCUCUUGCAUCAUACAGACAAGGUGGAAUAGUGUGUCCUAGUUUGCUUGGGCUGCUGUAACAAAAUACUGCAACCGAGAGACCUUGAAACACUGGAGCUUUGCAUCUCACAGUUCUGGAGGCUGGGAAGCCGGUGGUCAAGGUGUCAGCACAUCUGAUGUCUGGUGAGGGCAGCUUCCUGAGCAGAGCCACCACUUCCUAGGUAUGUCCACAAGAGGAAAGAGGGAUCUAAAUGCCUGCAGUCUCUUUAGGAGGGCACUAAUCCCAAAAGAAUGUGAAAGAGAACACUUUUGACAACACUUUUUUUUUUCUCAACACUUUUGACACCAAAUGUGUGGGUUUUCUCAUUCAGUAGUUGUCCAGUUCUCUGGCACACAGCAACUAGGUGUCCCUUGAUUUAGUUCAGUUCUGACACUAGCUACCUGGAGCCAGCACCGAUGCACAGGUCAGGGUCUGACACAAGGCUUUCCCUGCCUUGAGACACUCAGUGGAAGUAUUGGAUGCUGCUAUAGUUUCAAUCUUAAAUUAAAUGUCUCUCAAAGGGACAUUUAUUUUUAUUUUUAUUUAUUUAUUUUUUUGGACAUUUAUUUUUUUAUUAUUAUUAUUUUUUUGAAAUAGGAUCUCACUUUGUAGUGGGGACUGGCCUUGAAAUCAAAGUGAUCCUCCUGCCUUAGCCUCUCAAGUGCUGAGGUUAUAGGGGUGUGCCACCACGCAUGGCUUCAAAGGGACAUUUAUUAAAGGUCUUGUCCCUAGGGUGGCUCUAAUGUGAGGAAAUGGAGCCAUUAGGAGGUCAGGCCUGGUGGGAGGUCUCAGGUUCCUGGGGACAUGCUCCUGAAGAGGACUUCAGGACCCCAGCUCUUCCUCAUGUGGUGCAGGCCACGGUCACAAUCUCGCUGCUUGACACAGCUCCAGUGAAACAGAGACUAUGGCUGAAACCAGGACUCCGUCUUUUGCUUUCGCUUUCCUCGGUAGUAAUUACCUUGGUGCUGUACUCCCCGGAAAUCACUGAAAGGAUAAAAGUCAUUACUUCGGAAAUGGUUACUAGGCCGGGAUUACAGGAAGAAAUUGUAAAUCCAUUUACAGAAAAGCCCCUCACUCAUACCUCCGUGAGUAGUGGGGACGUGACAUCCAUAUGCCCUGACUGUACAAAGGGAAAUUGGGACAUCAACAAAUUCAUGACGCAGGUGCCCCACUGUCUGGCACCUGGUCACCCUUGGCCAACACCCGCAGGGCACACAACAAUGAGAUCUGAUGAAACUUGGCCUAAUGAGGUAGCCUGACCUUUCUAAAAUGCUUCUUGUUCCUCAAAUGUAAAUCUGAUAAAUUAGCAAGAGUUCAUGUAGCACCCAGAGGAGUACUUAGAACUGGGUGGUCUAAAAUGGUUUUUUAGAUGCUAUCAGCUUUUCCUUAACUCUGUAUGAAAACACACUGUGUAUGGACCCACAUGCUUACCAAAGCCUUGUGUAAUCAAAACAUAUAUAAGUAAAGUGAUUUCGGUAUAACUCAGACAGGCAAGCUGAGCUGCCGACCCUCCACUCAGUGUCUGUUUCAUUCUCUUGUCGCCAACUCCACACCUUCUCUCAGGACCUGAACCCGCUGGAGCUGGACUCCGGCACUCAUGUUUUUCCACUUCCUGGCCAUGAGGUGCCAGAAUCACUGAGCUAAAUCCCCAACCCUUGAUUGGUGUUUUGACAAGAGUAUGCCUGAGUGCUGAAGAGGAGGCACAGCAACAGAAAAAGCACAGGAAAGUGCAAUGACAGCUCUACUACUCCAGAUCCUGCCAGGCCCAGUCACUGGGAGUAAAGCCAAGGUCUUCACAGCACUUCCCUGCCCAAGUCAUAAUCACCUUUGCUCCCUCUGUUUUUUCAUCUCCUGUCACCUCCCUCUCACUUCCUCUGUGUGGUCCCAAGAGCACCUGGCAUACCCCUGCCACUGGGCCUUUGCACAGGCUGCUUCCUCUGCCGGACUAGGGCUUCUCAGUGUUGGCACUGUGACUGGCCCAGUGAUUCUGUGUGGUGGAGGUUUGUUCUGUGCAUGGUGUGAUGUUUAGCAGCAUCCUGACUCUGCCCUUAGGAGCCAGGAGUACACGCCUACCCCUUCCUAUGUGAAACUGUCUCCAGACAGCGGAAAACACCCUGGAUUUGAAGGUGUGGUCUUGUCCUGGAGCAUUACAGCAUCCGGGGAUC